AGAUAAGGAGNAUCCUACGGGAGGCAGCAGUGGGACUCCUACGGGAGGCAUUUGCGGGACUCCUACGGAAGGCAGCAGUGGGACUCCUACGGGAGGCAGCAGUGGGACAGUUGGCUCAGAACGAACGCUGGCGGCUGGCUCAGAACGAACGCUGGCGGCCCCACUCCUACGGGAGGCAGCAGUGGGACAGUUGGCUCAGAACGAACGCUGGCGGCUGGCUCAGAACGAACGCUGGCGGCCCCACUCCUACGGGAGGCAGCAGUG
RNAcentral lists this unclassified non-coding RNA (264 nucleotides) under uncultured bacterium. Its description in RNAcentral is "partial contains 16S ribosomal RNA and 16S-23S ribosomal RNA intergenic spacer region". The record is from RNAcentral.